Molecule: long non-coding RNA, 1068 nt
Filed under: Salmo salar (Atlantic salmon)
Lineage: Eukaryota; Metazoa; Chordata; Actinopteri; Salmoniformes; Salmonidae
Description: lncRNA (ENSSSAG00000102073.1)
Source: RNAcentral
CCGAGCUGCAGCCAAGGUCUGAGUAGUCAACAAACCCAAAACGCAACAUGAGGUUGAAGACAAAGGAACCUUUUAUCUAUCUAUGCUACAGAUGAGUAGCUGCGUCUAAGAGGGUGAAUUCAAGCAGGACCACCCGGUCACCACUCUCCAUCGAAUCGUGUGUCUACACUGCUUUCAUUCCUACACUGUGAGCCCUGAGCUACAGGGCUGGUUGUCCUCAGAAGACCCCUUUCAGAACAAGGGUGAAGAAACAGACCACUAAGACAAAGGACACUGACAUCGUGAGGACAACCAGAGAGUUACACCAGAGAAGUGUGUCAUCCGAGAAGCCGAAAUGGUCCACGCAGAGACCGCCAUCGGAGACAUUCAACACAAAAGGACCCAAAUUCAUUGUCUCUCCCUCGCCCCACGCAGGCAACCUUGGCGUCAUCCUGGAUUCCGCCCUCUCCUUCGACCACCACAUUUGACAGACUUUCAACUAAUUCUUCCACCUCCGCAACAUCUCCAGAAUCAGGUCCUCUUUCUCCUGUCGUGUCGUUGAAACCCUCAUACAUGCAUUAAUCUCCUCCCGACUCGACUACUGCAACUCACUACUCUCUGGCAUCAACUCAAGCUCCCUCCACAAACUCAAAAUCGUUCAAAAUUCUGCAGCCCAACUUCUCACCCACACCAAGUCCUGGCAGCACAUCACUCCUGUCCUAUAACUUUUUUUCAGAGAAUGUAGCAGUUAAACCAUGCCCUUUAGCCGAUUAGUAGGAAUUGUUAAUGGGUAUGGGUCUAUGGGUUUAACUGUGAUUGACUGUUUGACUAUUGGAAGAAACAGUGGUCACCACCCAUCUACCUGGAAAUCAAGUCUCCGGGAGAUUUUCACUCCAACCAAUAAGAUAUCACAACAGAUUCCGCUAAACAAAUUCUUGAUGAGAAGCUAAGUGUAAUUGUGUGUGCGCAAUAAGUGUGCAAUUCUGAAACUAUUCCACCUUUCCUGUCAGGGGAGGGGGGUAUAGUUGAGUAGUUUUGUAUAGUAAUGCCAGUGUUCAAGAGAGCUGGUGAUGACAGCGUGAAUAAAAC